GUGAAGGCAGCUACAGUUGGACGGCUACUUUCAGAAAAACAUUCCUUCAUUUUCCGUGCACCGCUCCUCUACCCAAUACGUCUGUGAAGAGAAAAACAAGAUGAGACCACUCUUCAGAAACAUGAGAAUGCUGUCUUUUCUUGUUAUGCUGUCUUUCAGCUCGGCUUUUCUCACAACUGAGAUUGUCAGAGGGAUCGUAAAGGAUCUCAGACAGUUAUCUCCAGAGCUUCUAUCAUCUCUACAUUCAACACACUCUGUCAUGUUGACAUGUGAUUGUGAUCUGCUGGCGAUGACACAUCUGAAACUAAUUCUGGACCAGGUGAAUCCAAAGACUGUUUCUACCAGUGACAAACAACUUCUGGGCAGAAUUAUACUUCGUUUAGAUGCAAUACAUUCCAAAAAGGAGGGGGAGAAGAACUGCUUGAGGAAAGCCUACCGGCGUUUACGGAAAAGAACAACUGUGGUUCCUUACUUUGAAAAUCUUCAGCACUGGUUAAGGACAUGCAAAAAGCCUAUUUCUAUACAUGCUGAUGAUUAAACCCCUACUUCUAUACAUGCUGAUGACAAAACCCCUAUUUCUAUACAUGCUGA
RNAcentral lists this long non-coding RNA (591 nucleotides) under Astyanax mexicanus (Mexican tetra). RNAcentral's name for it is "lncRNA (ENSAMXG00005025392.1)". Lineage: Eukaryota; Metazoa; Chordata; Actinopteri; Characiformes; Acestrorhamphidae. The record is from RNAcentral.